This is a long non-coding RNA of Quercus robur (English oak), 4276 nucleotides long. RefSeq lists it as uncharacterized. NCBI's taxonomy places the organism in Eukaryota, Viridiplantae, Streptophyta, Magnoliopsida, Fagales, Fagaceae. The record is from RefSeq and is a predicted model, not a curated record. The transcript is spliced from 6 exons.
UUCACAUUCACGUGUCUCCCUCUCUCUCUGUCGAGCUGCCACCCCUCUCCCUUUCUCUUACUCGAAUUCCUCUCUCUCUCUCUCUCCCCACGGUCUUCCACUAAAACUACUUCAGCCAUGAGUUCCUUUCAAGCCAUCACCACCGGUUGUGAAGAAAAGAUUUGGGCAAGAGAGGGACCCUUUUGGCCAAGCAAGGAAUAUGAGGUUCCGAGAUUUUUGAUGAUGGACCUAGUGAUGGGAUUGGUUGAUUUCAUGGUGCUCGGUUGAGGUAAAAUUGGUUGGCAUCCUGAGGUAAGUAGCUCUUUAAUGGGAUUUUUGGAAAAUAACCAUGUUGCAUAAACGUUAUUUUUGGGUCAAACACAUUUUGGGAAAUUAUUUGUGGGAUUAUGUUUUCUUAAAAAGUAUUGUGUUGUGACCUUAUUGUAUAUGACUAUUUAUGAAACAUGCAUCAUAUUUGGUAAUGGGAAUAGGGAAAUGCAUGAUUUGUUAGAUUGGAAAUGAUAAGCAUCUUUUACAAAAUUCUUGGUAAUGAAUUUUAUGGAUUUAUUGCAUUAUUUGCAAAUUCUAAAGAUGCUUUAUCUUGACUUGUGAUAUUUGGGAAAUUGAUAGAAAAUCUUAUUGACAAGAAACAAUUUUGGAAAACUUGAGAACCUUGUGAAUAUAUUGGAUACUUCAAAGGUUUUUGUGAAACUACUUGGAAAUGAACUGUGUUUUGAAUUCAUGUAAUCUGUGAGCUCUUUAUGUUUUACCCUUGUGCCGUGAUGUGUGAUUACCUGGUGAUUACCUAGCUAGAUACUAUAGUUUAUGUGACAUUGGUAUCUUAGCACCUAUCUUUGUGACGGCAUAUGAGUUUCGUCUUUGUGACGACAGAUUAGUUCCGGCUGUGUGUUGGCGAUGAGUUCUGUCUUUAUGAUGGCAGAGGAGUUCCAUCUUUGUGAUGACAGAUGAGUUCCGUCUUUGUGACGGCGUUGUCACGUGGCAUUGGGUUGGAUUUUCGGGUUUUGGAAUGGUGUUUUGAUAGCUCACAGUAAAUAGUAUGUAGUUUCAUGUUAAAAUAUUUUGAGAAAGCUUGGUGCUACAUCGUUUAAAUCAUUCUUGUCAUUUUACCAAUGAAAAUGGAUUUUCUUGAUUUUCAUGGAAAUUCCCAAAUUAUAACAUGUUUUGUAAAAUGUUCAUUAUCAUGAAACUUGCAUUUCCCCCAUCCCCAUUAAUUGUGCUACUUACUGGGUUUUAGCUCAUCCCAAUCUCCAACAGUUUUAUAGAUAAAUUAGCUACACGUCGGGCAUGGAGCUUAAUUUAUUGGUGGUGAUUGGAGGGCUAUAUUAAAUUGGGAAACUUGGGCCAUAAAUGGUUGAUGACUCACUCUUGUAAAGUUCAACGAGAUCAAAAUUAAUUCUACUGGAGGUUGGAUACUUGAGGUUGUUAGCCUUGGGUCUGGUAGGCCUAGAUUUUCUAUUGAGGUUGCAUACCUUAGAGAGGAUUGUGACUUUGUGUUUAUUUAUUUGGAGCAUUGGAUUGUUAAGUGUAUAUGGAGACACAUGAUUUGUAGUUUGUAUUGCUUGUAAAUGUGUCAUAGAGCUCUGACUUGUAUUGUGGAGAGAUCAAUAUAUUUAUUUACUUCGUCAAUGGAAAAAAAAAAAAAAAAUCCCAUACAGGUUCUCUUGAAGGCUCAGUUUUUCAUGCUUUGGACCCUUUUGGGUUUGGGGCGUGACAUUCAUGAUCUCCCCUCUUUACAAUGGCUGAUGAUUACUGGUUGUCCCAUAUUACGAGCAAGAUGCCCGGGGGAAAUAGGUGAAGAUUGGCCCAAGAUUUCUCAUGCUCUAGUCUUGAGAUUAUGAUGAUGGAGGCGGUGAGAAACAAGUUGUUCAAAGAAUAGACUUGGGCUUAAAAAUUCAGACCUAUCUAAAAUUUGCAAUUGGGCAAUAUAGAAGUCAGCGCCUCUGUCCAAGCAUUGGGCAACAUUGCACACGUUCUUUUCUUUAAUGAGUUUAAUCACUACAAGUAUGGGGCAUUGUGUGAUGGAUGGAUAGAGUUCCUGGAGUUCUUUAAGUUAGAGAUGUAGUAUGGGUAAGGACGGUUGAGCCAAGACACGUAAGAGGAGUUUUAUUAAAUGUCCCAAAGAUGGAGUAACUUGCUGCAAAGCGAUGCAGAGGUAAGCCAAUUCUUGUAGACCAUAUUAGUUAUUCUUACCUAAUCAUUUUUGUGCCAACUGCCAAAAGACUACAUAGGAAACCAUAUCAACAUUCUUCUUGUAGACUAUUUAGAUGCUAAUGUGCCACUCAUCUAAUAAUAUAUGGUUUAAUUGGCUGGUUCUAUAUUAUCCAAUGCUGAUCUCACCAAGGGAGGAGUAGCUUGAUACAAUCCUACUCUUUACCACUUGCCCUUGAUUUUAUUCUUUUCUAAUACUAAAAGACAAGCAUUUUCUUACAAAAAUGAGUGGAAGUUGUUUCCAAUUUUUGAUAGUUUUGUGUAGAUGUUUCUGUUUGAAUUGAAGGUUGUUUCUUUUGUAAUUAUAACCAGAAAUCUAUGCAGUAUGUGAAAUUACGCAUUUUAAACUAGUUCUAAGUGUUGGCCUUUUUUGUGAUUUGGAAGCUAAAAUUAAGGACCACUAAAUGAUUAAUCAAUUCAAAGGAAGGACUCCAGUGCCAAAAGUGCAUGUGUCAAACCAACUCAAAGAUGCAGUUGGUAGAAAGUAAAAUGGUUGAAAAUAAUUGUAAAUGUUUGCCUUAACAUACAUAUAGAAGUAGGUGGGAAUGAUCUAGAGAUUUGUUUCCAGGAAAAAAGUUUUACCCAAUGUCAAAGUGUCUCUCAACUUUCCUAUUAGGAUAAUUUGAAAAUCACUUGCUUAAAAUUUUACAUGUCACUGGUUGGCUGAAUAUUAAUUUAAGGUACAAAGAUUUUCUCAAUUUUCCCAAAAGGAAUCUUCCCUGGAGAUGUAGUUCUAUAUUUAAGAACCAAAUCAUACACCAAUAACUAAGUCAUUUUCAUGACUUUCAUGUUAUCCAAAUCUGGGGUCUCUUGUUGAGUGAUUUCAACAUCUAUUACUCUGCAAAUACGUUCACAACUUCACUUUCAAUUUUGUUCUAGUUCAAUGCUUUCUUGGAGUGACCAACAAGCUCAUCUCAGUUGAAUCCUUGUAAUCUCAGAUGCCAUAGUAUGGUAUCAUUGCCCUCAUUAAGGGCUUAGUUGCAUCGCACUCUCACCACUUUAAGGAGAUUGUGAAUCUCCCGUUGUCCCACCACUUACUAGAAAAAUACAAGGAUUGAAUAGGUAUAUGAUGGCUAAAAUCCCAAAUUUCUGCAGGAAGGAAAAAAAAAAACAUAUGAUGGGACAGAUUAAUAUCCUUUUGCUAAAGAAAUAUACCCAAGAUUCUACAGAACAUGAAUUGAGGAGGUGGUAAUGGAUCAUAAGAUUGCUGGUGCCCCAAAUAUUCUAAACUGGACCAGAAGGAUCUCACCUCAUUAGCUGCACAGUUGAUAACUUCAAGUGCAAGGCAAAUUGGGACUUGCUCUGUUGAGAUGGCUUUUGAGACUUCCAUAACAAAGAAUCUCUUUCGGUGUGCUGUUAUCUCUACAUAGCAUGGUAUUAGUCAUCCUUGAAGUAGUCUUUCAAUUCUACGUAAGGCUGCUUGGGAUACCACAAUAUUCCAAGCCAUGGGCAAUUACAUCUAUGAGACUUGAACACUUACAUUUUGUGCAGAGGCUAGGUGUGUGUUCAUGUUAUAGUAUCAGUUUCCCAACAAUCUUUCUACAUUAGCAUAAAAUUUAGCAAUCACAUAUCAUAGAAAGGGCUCUAUGUUAGUUGGGGUCCCUUUCAUCAUGUCCUUUAUCAUCAACUGCCUUCCUCUGUGCUUGGCAACAUUACUCCACAUUGGUGCCUGUUUGGAUUGCCACCUGUAGUGGCUGGUGAUUCACUGAUCAAAGAGCAGAUUUUGGAGAGAUUAUUCAUCAAUCUAGUGGUUGGUGAAUCACUGAUCAAAGAGUAUUAUUAAGUAGCUAUCCUUGUGGAGAAGUACUAGUCAUCUUCGACAGUUUUGCUACAUAUAUGAGGACAGUUGAAUGUAUCUUUUCAUUUCGUCAGGAAAGUUGAAUUUCCAAUUUUCAGCAUGUUGAAUACUGCAUUGAAUAUUUCAUUUCUUAAGUUUAUGAUUUGAGCGUCCAGCUUUGUGUGACAAUUUUUUUUGUGGAUCAACUUAUUUUUCCUACUUGGAUUUGAUUAUAAUCAAGGUGCUCUUUGUACUUGUAUUCCGAUUAAUAUUGAGUAAAUCUUUUCUUCU